UUAGCAUGAUGACAAGGUUAGUUAGCAUGAUGGGGAGGCUAAUUAGCAUGAUGCUGAGCUUAGUUAGCAUGAUGACAAGGUUAGUUAGCAUGAUGCUGAGCUUAGGAUGUUACUGUAACAGAUCAUAUCGGUAUGUAAUGUUUUGGCUUUUUCAGUAGGACUUAUCUCCCUCCAGGACUACUAUCCAC
Melanotaenia boesemani (Boeseman's rainbowfish) is the source of this 188-nucleotide long non-coding RNA. RefSeq lists it as uncharacterized. NCBI's taxonomy places the organism in Eukaryota, Metazoa, Chordata, Actinopteri, Atheriniformes, Melanotaeniidae. The transcript has 3 exons. The record is from RefSeq and is a predicted model, not a curated record.